AGGCCUAUAACUCAGCGGUUUAGAGUGUACGCCUGAUAAGCGUAAAGUCAGUGGUUCAAGUCCACUUAGGCCUA
This 74-nucleotide transfer RNA is filed under the name Heterosigma akashiwo. Its description in RNAcentral is "tRNA-ILE". It matches the Rfam family "tRNA". From Rfam's summary of the family: Transfer RNA (tRNA) molecules are approximately 80 nucleotides in length. Their secondary structure includes four short double-helical elements and three loops (D, anti-codon, and T loops). Lineage: Eukaryota; Raphidophyceae; Chattonellales; Chattonellaceae. The record is from RNAcentral.